This 227-nucleotide ribosomal RNA is filed under the name uncultured bacterium. RNAcentral describes it as "partial 16S ribosomal RNA". It matches the Rfam family "Bacterial small subunit ribosomal RNA", at positions 8 to 218 of the family's 1533-position model. The record is from RNAcentral.
AGAGUUUGAUCAUGGCUCAGGAUGAACGCUAGCGACAGGCCUAACACAUGCAAGUCGAGGGGCAGCGGAGAGGUAGCAAUACCUUUGCCGGCGACCGGCGCACGGGUGAGUAACACGUAUGCAAUCCACCGUGUAACGAGGGGGGUAUAAACCCGGAGAAAUCCGGACUAAUACCCCAUAAUAUGGGCGCUCCGCAUGGAGAGCCCAAUUAAAGAGAGCAAUUUUGG